This is an RNA transcript of Papaver somniferum (opium poppy), 2691 nucleotides long. RefSeq lists it as uncharacterized. Lineage: Eukaryota; Viridiplantae; Streptophyta; Magnoliopsida; Ranunculales; Papaveraceae. The transcript is spliced from 5 exons. The record is from RefSeq and is a predicted model, not a curated record.
CUCUCUCUCUCUCUGAUUAGUGCUGUACUUCUUCCCCUACCCUUUUAUCUAUAUCUCUAAAUUCAUCACCUCCUUUGAGUGUCUCAUAGUUUCUUCUUUACUGUUCUUCCCUUGGAUAUAUCAAGCAGUAAUCUUGUUGCCACAGAAUCAUACUCCCCUUCCUUCAAAUCCACUCCGAGCUUGGUUUCAAGACCGGGAAAUUGGGUUUCGUAGCAGGACAUUCCAAUUUAAGCGAAUGGCUAACCCGGCAGUGGUUACACACGACGUUCACUAUACAGUUGUGGAUAUAAAAAAACAGCGAGUUAGCUGCAAUUAUUGUGGAAAGGAGAUACAAGGUUCUUCUCGUCUUAAGGAACACUUGGGAGGAGUACCUCCUGAUGUAUUACCUUGUCUCGAAGUUCCAGAGGAUGUGAAGGUACAAAUGAAAAAUGACGUAAUGGAAAGAAGGAAAGCAUAUGCUAACAGCAAAUUUCUUAAAUCGCUCCAGUCGCAUUCUCUACAGAAGAGGAAGUCCAGCUCCAACAACCCCAGUAACCAAAAAGACAACCUACAAUUGUCAAGGACCAGAAAGCACUGCACUACAAUUGUGUCUGGAAUAAGAAAGAAAGAUGAGAAGGCACAGAGUUUGAUUUCCCCCGAAAAGUUGAAUGCACAGAACACAGGGAUGAUUGAAAAACAAGAUGAAGAUAAGUCAUCCAGGAAAAUCCAAAGGUGUAUAGGCAGAUUCUUUUUUGAAAAUGGUAUAGACUUUAUUGCUGCAAGCUCGCCAACUUUCCAGGAAAUGAUACAUGCUUUUGUUGGACGUGGAUCAGCGUUGUAUAAGGUGCCUAGUUGUAAUGAUCUCAAGGGGUGGAUUCUGCAGGAAGAACUGAAGGCAUCACAAGAGUAUGUGCGAGAAGUUGUGCACUCAUGGGGAAGCACUGGAUGUAGUAUAUUGCUGGAUGGGUGGAUGGAUGGGAAAGGGAGAAAUUUGAUUAAUUUUCUGAUUGAUAGCCCACGGGGUCCCAUAUUUAUGAAAUCUGCUGAUGUGUCAGAUAUUUUAGGAGAUGUGGUUGCCAUGAUCACAUUGUUAACUGGUGUUAUUGAGGAGGUUGGGGUGCAGAAUGUUGUUCAGAUUGUUUCAUAUACUACUCUUGGUUCACUGAGCACAGUGGGCAAAAAGUUGACGGAGAAAUACGGGACUAUAUCUUGGACUGUUUGUGCAUCUCACUGCAUAGGCCUCAUCUUGGAGAAGAUAGGAUUGCUGGAUCCUUGGAGAGGUGUACUUGAUAAGGCAAAGGAUAUUACAAAGUUCAUUUACACCCAUGAGACAGUUUUGAAGCUUAUGAAGAAACACACUUCUGGGGUGGAGCUAGUCAGUUCUAGGAGGAUCAGGUCGCUGAUGCCAUUUCUAAUACUGGAGAGAAUCGGGUCUCAAAAGAAUAAUUUGAAGAUCAUGUUUAGUUCGUUAGAAUGGAAGAGCUCAGCCCUAGCUUCAACAGCUGAUGGAACGCAUGUGACUGAUUUAGUCACUGGAGUGUCGUCUUUCUGGACUGAAGCCCAGAUGCUUUUGAAGGGAAGUCUUCCACUCAUACGUGCUCUGCAUCUAAUUAGUGGAGGAGACAGUAAACCCCAGUUGGGAUACAUAUAUGAAACAAUGGACCAAGUAAAAGAGACGAUUAAAGAGGAGUAUGGAGACGAGAAAACUAAAUAUCAGCCUUUCUGGACAGCAAUUGAUGGGAUCUGGAAUAACCAACUCCAUAACCCUAUCCAUUCUGCUGCCUGCAUUUUAAACCCGAGUCUCCUUUACUCAUCUGAGGACGUCGACGAAGAUAAUGAGAUUAAGGAUGGGCUUUCUCGCUGCAUUGAGGGAAUGGUAAAGGAUAAUCGUGCUCGAUAUUUAAUAUUGUUACAGUUGGAUGACUAUUUAGUGGCUAAGGGUGCUUUUGGCGAGGCGGUUGCUACUGAUCAAAGAACAAAGCUUUCUCCAGUGAAGUGGUGGUCCUUGUAUGGAGGUCAAUGCCCUGAAUUGCAAAGUUUUGCUAUGCGAAUUUUGAGUCAGACGUGUACUGGUGCCUCAAGAUAUGGUCUGAAGAGGAGUCUAUCUGAGCAACUACAUAUGAAUGGAAGGAACCCUGUAGAGCAGAAACAGUUGACUGAUCUUACAUUUGUUCAUCAUAAUCUCCGGUUGCAAAAUGCUGUAUCUAUUUCAAUCACCGAUUACAGAGAUAUAUUUCUUGAAGAGAUGGAUCCAUUGGAUGAAUGGGUUGGCGGAGGAGAUGUUGAAAGAGUAAGCAGCUUAGCUAAAUGGUGAUUAAAUUAAGUGUUUCUGAUAAGGGAUUUGAAUUUGAUAUCCGUUGGAAGUGCAGUUUGCUGGUUGUUCUGGAAAGGUUGAUAUGAGCUAUUUUCCAUUUUGAUGAAUAUAGUUCUUGAUACUCAAAGGUUUUAUACCCACUUAAGGAUCUGUGAUUAGGUGCAAAUCCUCUUUUGGCUUUUCCCCUUUUGCAUUGAAGCUGCAGAAGUCAUAACUCAUCAAAAUGCAUCGGAGCGUAACAUGUAAGAAGUUCUUUUUGCCGGAGAUUGCAAAUGAGAUCAGUUUUGUCGCUUUUCAGUCGGCCUCAGUUUAUGGAGUCACAGCCCUGACGGGUCUCUUCUUAGCUGUUGUAACAUGUUAAAAACUCAAAACACCAAUAGAUGUGAUUGAAAAUUCAA